GGGUGGUUAGCUCAGUUGGUAGAGCAUCUCGUUUACACCGAGGAGGUCAGCGGUUCGAGCCCGUUACCACCCACCG
This 76-nucleotide transfer RNA is filed under the name Ehrlichia sennetsu str. Miyayama. RNAcentral describes it as "Neorickettsia sennetsu str. Miyayama tRNA-Val-TAC-1-1". It matches the Rfam family "tRNA". Rfam says of the family: Transfer RNA (tRNA) molecules are approximately 80 nucleotides in length. Their secondary structure includes four short double-helical elements and three loops (D, anti-codon, and T loops). Lineage: Bacteria; Pseudomonadati; Pseudomonadota; Alphaproteobacteria; Rickettsiales; Anaplasmataceae. The record is from RNAcentral.